This 1566-nucleotide long non-coding RNA is filed under the name Hordeum vulgare. RNAcentral describes it as "long non-coding RNA (HVUL_LNC007334)". Lineage: Eukaryota; Viridiplantae; Streptophyta; Magnoliopsida; Poales; Poaceae. The record is from RNAcentral.
GGAAGUGUUAGAGGUUUCAUGGCAAAGUUUGAUGGCCUAUAUAUCAGGCGAUAUGCAACGGAGUAUAACGAUGGAAACGAAUCAACUAAGCAUAACAAAGCUAGAAACGGUGUCAAGGUCACGACCAUUUUGCGUGUGAAAUCUUCAUAGUGGAACUGCUCCUGAUCUUCCUGAAUGAACUCACUGGACUCCUCGAACUCGUUUCCUGCACCCGAUGCUACCCAAAGAAAUAAAUAGAAAAUAAACACCAGCAAAUGAUGAGGCAACAGCCAAUAUGAUGCAUGCAUGGCACACACUUCAAGCACGCACAAAAAUAACCCUACUAAACUGACAAGUACCACCUCAUCACAAAAUGACACUUCUGCAGAUCUGCUCAAAACUGGAAUCCAGUUCCACCAUUGGAUUCGUUGGGGUUUUCUACCCCAAAUCCAUAUAUCAUACUGCUAUACUUUCAUGCAUAAAAACACCACAAGACUAAAAAGGAAAUCUACUUAGAAUCAUAAACCACUAUUUGUCAAAAUCAGAGGUUGAUUUUGCAAAUUCCUCUUCUAAAAUAUUCCAGAUUUGGAAAAUACAUCACAACCAAAAAAACAACACACACAUAAAUCAACAGGGGGGUCCCACUGGUCAUAGGCACCAGGUCCCGAGUGCAUGAUAGGUGGGCCCUGUGGCCCACUGUCAGCGUCUAAUCUACAGUACACAAGAAUUAACAAAGAAACUAAAAACGGUAAGAGGGGGGUCGAACCCACAAUCUCCCAAGUGUAGAACCCAGCCCCCACCACUGGGCCACACUCAUGUAGCUCCACUAACUGGGGUAGUAAUACAUAUAUGUAGUCUCUGCAACUUAGCAACAGAAGGAAAACAAUACCCAAAAGGGGUGCGCGCAAGGAGACUCGAACCAACUACCUCACGCGUAGAUGUGUCUCUACUGCCACUGCGGUAUGAUGUUGCUGCUGGUCUAACACAUGAAUCGAACAAGGCAACAUAUCACAACCUACCACAUCACCGAAGGAAAUAAAAGGGGAGUGCUGGGUUUCAAACCCACGACUAAGGCCGUCGCGCUGCUCAGCGAACCAAUCGGUCUAGGAGGGGGGAUCUGCUGUGAGAGGGGAUCCACACUAGCUAAAAACGAAACAAGGCAUCUUCCCUGGAGCAGAGGGACGCCGACGAUGAAUCCUGCCGGUGCCAUAUAGCACGCGCACGACGGUGCUACGGGCCCUAUCCUACGCGACGCGUGCCACGAAGCAGAUCGACUGCUAGGCGAUGCAAAACUACUGCGCUGAUGGAGUUGCUACCCGAAGCUGUUGCUGCUACUACACUACGCGGGCUGCUGCUGCUGCUACAGGGCCGCGCGGCAGAGCAACGCGCCGACGAUGCGGGCUACGGUGAGGCUACAGACAGCGAGGGGAAAAUGAAGAUGCGUCUGCUCACCUAGGACGUGGAGGAGAAGGGCUCACGCGACGAAGAGGGGAGGAUGACGUCGACGAACUGCUGCAGAAGUAGCCGCCGGAGGUGCCGAAGAAUGUUAGAGUUGGAAAGAUCAAAGGGAGAGGAAACUCGUGCAAU